UACAGAGGGGGCAAGCGUUGUUCGGAAUUACUGGGCGUAAAGGGCUCGUAGGUGGCCAACUAAGUCAGACGUGAAAUCCCUCGGCUUAACCGGGGAACUGCGUCUGAUACUGGAUGGCUUGAGUUCGGGAGAGGGAUGCGGAAUUCCAGGUGUAGCGGUGAAAUGCGUAGAUAUCUGGAGGAACACCGGUGGCGAAGGCGGCAUCCUGGACCGACACUGACGCUGAGGAGCGAAAGCCAGGGGAGCAAACGGG
This 253-nucleotide ribosomal RNA is filed under the name uncultured bacterium. RNAcentral describes it as "partial 16S ribosomal RNA". It matches the Rfam family "Bacterial small subunit ribosomal RNA", at positions 524 to 776 of the family's 1533-position model. The record is from RNAcentral.